This 266-nucleotide unclassified non-coding RNA is filed under the name Hevea brasiliensis (rubber tree). Lineage: Eukaryota; Viridiplantae; Streptophyta; Magnoliopsida; Malpighiales; Euphorbiaceae. The record is from RNAcentral.
UCGUCAGAGCUCGAAUUGAAAAGAAUUUGCCCAUUUGAUUUUCUCUUCACUGCAAAACUAAAUGGGUCCGCUUUGUAGCUAAAAAUAAACUCAGAGCCAGAGAAUUCCUGAACCGUAAUUAGGUUCUUUCUCGAUCUCCCAAUUGCUUGAUUCAAUGCAGGUGGUUGCUCUCUGGGCAAUAGAUUGUACGGAACUUCCCACCUCUUCUUCUCUGCAUCAGUGAUGUGAACUCUCAAACGAUCUUGCGUUUCAUGCUUGACAAAGAG